GGAUUUGGGAACUGAAUAGUGCCCAUCAAAGUCUCACCUGAUGUUGGAAAUUGAUCUGAGAGCGCGGAAGGACAGAAUUCUUUCUUUGUUCCUGGGCAGCGGUGGUUGAGGGAUCAUUUUGUGGCAGCUACAGUGGGAUCAUUUGUGGCAAUGAUGGAGGCAGAAUGGAGGGCUCAGUACCAAGACAAGGAGAGACUUGGCCUCACAAUGGCAGCAUUGCAGGGGUGCGCUCCACAGAGCAUUUGCUCACAUGGUUUUGGGCAUUGUCUCUAACUACAUUGCUUCCCCGAUAGUUUGACCCAUUCUAACUAAUUCCUUUUCUCUUUAAAAAAGCAAACUUCAUUUGUAUGACUUGCAAUUGUAAACGACACCAAUUGGCCAGUUAUCAUUCAAAUUCUCUGUUACUUAAUCCUGCCUUUUCCUGACAUAUGCAACUUUCGCCUAAAAAAUUGGACACUUUGUUGCUUACUCAUUGUCUUUACACAUUUUAAAAUGUUGCUUUUUGCCCCCAAUCCCUAACUACAUUUUCAAUGUUUUGCAAGUGGAGUCCAUGUGUUCUUGAUUUACAUGAAGCUCAAAAUAAUGGUUAUAGUAACUAGUACUUCAUAAUUAAGCAAAAAGCUCUUAUUGAAAAAUGACAGAACUAUACAUAGGGAUGAGAACAUGGAGAGAUAUUUCGUGAGAUCACAAAGUUAUGGUAUGGCAGAAGUAGAACGCUGAGUAGAGACUCUGUGUUCCCAAUCAUUAUUUCUACCACCAGCUUUCUAUUUUGAUGUUAAUAAUGUUCUUAUGUGGGAAACCCUACAUAUUUGCCAAUGUUUAGUUCAUUGACAAAGAAAUAGAAAGAGCUUCAAGAACACUCUAAUCUUUAAAAAAUAAAAUACCUAUAAUUGGCCAUACGAAACAAUUGGUACUUGACAUAUACUGAGAUCGUUUUAUUUUGUGCUAGACAAAUGAAGUCAUAGAACAGAAUGUGCUUUAAAUAUUAUGAAUAGUGCUUGCAUGUGUGUGUGUCUAUAGAUGCAUAUUAGGCCGCUGAAAAGUUUUAUUAUUCUUUCCAGGAGAGAGACUGCCAACUUUUGAACCUAACUAGAACAAGUAUAUUGCUUCUUCAUAUUUUUAUUAAGGCAAAGAGAGUCUAGUUAAAAAUAAUUCAAAUUGUG
RNAcentral lists this long non-coding RNA (1163 nucleotides) under Homo sapiens (human). RNAcentral describes it as "HSALNT0385406". The record is from RNAcentral. Lineage: Eukaryota; Metazoa; Chordata; Mammalia; Primates; Hominidae.